This is a long non-coding RNA of Cyprinus carpio carpio, 972 nucleotides long. Lineage: Eukaryota; Metazoa; Chordata; Actinopteri; Cypriniformes; Cyprinidae. The record is from Ensembl.
AAAAAAGCAAAGAUGAAUCUGAGAACGUGAUUGUUGAUAUUGCCGCUGGUGAUUGUUGAUUGAGAACCCCUGUGAAAUCCAAUGUGGGUUAAAAGCAAACGAACCCUGGAUUUGGUCAGGUUUUUUUUUUGUGGAUUGGAUCAAACCCUUCAGACAAUGAGAUGGCGAGCCUCCCAACCGAACUUCUGUGGAUUUGAGAGAUGCAGACAGAGUAAUCCUGAGCGUUCCAAUGGAUUAGUGCUUCUACUGAUCAGGUGGAAUCCAAUUCAUUGCAUAUAUUCUGAUCGGUAGGAUCUGACUUUUCCUUAAGCGAUUAUUUUGCACUAUUGACUUUUGCACACACUAACAUAUUUUUCCACUUGGGAUGACAAAGAAAUAUUCAUUUAUACACAGAAUGAGAAGUUAUUGACCGUUACAUUGUUGGAAUUGUGGAACUGUUUUCAAAUUGUUUCAAAUUGAACUAUUGUGAUAUUGUACUUUUCUUUUCACAUUUCAAUUGUUUUAAUUUGGGUUAAUCUUUUCUGUGAUCUUUUAUAUAAAGCGUUGAAAAGAAAUUAAAAACCUAAAGAUAAGAAGAGCUCUUAUUAAACUAAAAUUUAAUAAAACUAAAUAAAAAUAAACCAAAAUAGAAACUAAACAACUGAAAUAUAAAUCAAAUAAUUAGAAGCAAAUAGAAAAAAGUCUAUUUAAAUAGUGAACAGAGCUCAAAGAUACCAAAAAGAACAACAAGGGAUUGAAAAGAACAAUUAUUUUAUUUGUGUUCAUUUAUUUUUCUUCAAUUGUUGUUGUGGUUGUAUUACAUUUGUUUUUUAUUAUUAUUUUUGCACCAACAUAAUACAUUAAAUCAUUUCCAGCUAUUAUCUGUGUCCUUGUGUGCCUUGAUCACUUACCCUCCUGUAACGAACCUAAUCACUGGUCCAAUAUCAGGUGCUUAGAAUCACCUGUCCCUGUGUCAAGUAAUUCUUGCUACAC